Molecule: ribosomal RNA, 301 nt
Filed under: uncultured bacterium
Lineage: Bacteria
Description: partial 16S ribosomal RNA
Rfam family: Bacterial small subunit ribosomal RNA
Source: RNAcentral
CAGUCGCCACGGUAAUACGAAGGGGGCUAGCGUUGUUCGGACUUACUGGGCGUAAAGGGCGCGUAGGCGGACUGAUAAGUCAGGGGUGAAAUCCCAAGGCUCAACCUUGGAACUGCCUCUGAUACUGUUUGUCUUGAGUUCGAGAGAGGUAAGUGGAACUGCGAGUGUAGAGGUGAAAUUCGUAGAUAUUCGCAAGAACACCAGUGGCGAAGGCGGCUUACUGGCUCGAAACUGACGCUGAGGCGCGAAAGCGUGGGGAGCAAACAGGAUUAGAUACCCCUGUAGUCCCUGUCUCUUAUAU